Molecule: long non-coding RNA, 1329 nt
Filed under: Oryctolagus cuniculus (rabbit)
Lineage: Eukaryota; Metazoa; Chordata; Mammalia; Lagomorpha; Leporidae
Description: lncRNA (ENSOCUG00000038183.1)
Source: RNAcentral
AUGACAUGCACAUGCCCACCUGAUUCUGAUUUCUACUCCAGUGUAUCAUCAUCCCUACCUUAUGGCUUGCCAAGACGGUUUACACUCGCAAGUAUCGAUCCACUGCCGACACACAAUCCAGAGUUUGCCACCCUGCGGCUUAGGAGCCGCUUCACUUGCAGACCCCUCCCAAUCCGAGACUCCAGGAUUGCCCAGAGAGACAGGGGAGGGCUGACCCACCCUGCACCGGGCUCUCAGAUUACGGCUCAGGGUGGGCUCAGGCGGGGCGGGAGCACUCCAUACUCCACACCGCGGGUGCGCUGGGGGCCGUUUGCCCCAGAGUAUCUCCCACCUCGCUCCCCAUCCAAAUUCCAGAUUUUCGCAGGCCUUUCUAGACGCCCCGGGGUUUUUCUCUGGAGGCGAGGGGCAGGGCUAUCUAUGGUGGUGGUGGUGGUGGCGGUGACCAUGGGCGUAGGCGCGGGGGGCUGUCCAGCGGGGCACCGCGCUGGAGCGCUGGCGAGUGUGCGGCACGGCGUGGGGACGUGUGUUUGUGUCGCCGGCUGCGUGCACCAGGGGAUGGUCAAACCACACCGCCGCCACGUCCCCAGUGCCACCCAGCGCUAUGAACAAGAGCAAGAAAAGCAAAACAGAAAGAUAAGAGGAGGGGGCAACAGAAAGUCGGUGCGGGGGUGGAUUCCAGAGCGUGCGGACCUGCGCGCGCUGCGCUCUUGCGGGACUCUGGCGCCUUGGCCGGCGGACGCCGGGCCCUGGGGGCCGAAGACACAGACAGGCUGUGGCCGUGAACUGACCCGGGGACUCGGAGGGGCUGCCUGGGUUAGGUGUCAGCGGCCAGCUCCGUUCGCUCUCCGCUCUGUUCGCGCCCCCCGUCCCGAGAGACUCUCCCCGUGGAUAUUUCCACACAUGCCAGAGCCUUGGCGCCGCGCCCAGGGACCUGCUGGUCGGUGGACCCUCCCUGGGAAUGAUUUUGUAGCUCACAGCAACCUGGGGUCAGCGAUGGUCAGGGAGAACAGGGAUGCGAGAGCUGGAGGGGGGUCGGAGGCGGAGUGUGUGCCUCCUUCUGUGUCAAUAACCCGGGAGGAUUGUCUCCUUUGGAACGCACUCCCAGGGCAGCCGCCGCCUAUCCCGCGGGGGGCACGCCAGGGGCGCGGGGCAGAGCUCGCAAGUGGAAUUUCUUUGCGUCCUCCGCGGGGUUCCGCGAGCUACAAGUUAGCCGCAACUGCCCAGGUCUGCAGGUGCAGACGCCGCGGUCCCUGCUCUACCACCCCGCGGCUUGCCGGCAGGGUCCCGGACCCAGGGGAGGCUGACUGGCGAGCCCUGGGCAUAGUCUGA